This 369-nucleotide ribosomal RNA is filed under the name uncultured bacterium. RNAcentral describes it as "bacterial SSU rRNA". It matches the Rfam family "Bacterial small subunit ribosomal RNA", at positions 28 to 410 of the family's 1533-position model. The record is from RNAcentral.
GAUGAACGCUGGCGGCGUGCCUUAGGCAUGCAAGUCAAGGGGGUUCGUGCAUUGCAGAACAACCGGCGGAAGGGUGAGUAACACGUAGGAACGUACCCAAUGGUGGAGGAUAGCUUACCGAAAGGUGAGGUAAUACUCCGUAAUCCCGCAAGGGAAGUAGGGCGUUAACCGCCCGCCGAUGGAGCGGCCUGCGUCCUAUCAGUUUGUUGGUGGGGUAAUGGCCUACCAAGACUAUGACGGGUAGCUGGGCUGAGAGGUCGGCCAGCCACCAAUGGAACUGAGACACGGUCCAUACAUCUACGGAUGGCAGCAACCGGGAAUCUUGGACAAUGGGGGAAACCCUGAUCCAGCGACGCCGCGUGAAGGAAG